GAAAAAGGAGAGUGGAAAAGUAUGAGCAGUCAUCCAGCAAAAACGGGAGCUGGAAGCAUGUAAAUAUAAUAGUAACCACUGCAGCCAAGAAGAGAGCCUGACGAGCCCAGUUAUAACCUGGAUGGGCGGUGUGUCAUUUCAAAAAGCUUUUGAAUUGUUUGGGCCACCAGACGACGACAGCUGUGGUCACAAAAAGCCUUCUGGUCCUAUGGAAGUGUACGGGACAACAACUCUGACCUCUGCUGGGUUUAUGGUCUUACGGCCACUCAUUUGGGGUCAUACUCAAUAAAAUAUUGAGGAUUAUUGUGGUAUAUUAUGCCAUGAGUUGUAUGAGCCAAUGAGUGUGCAGCUACACAGCCUGUCCCUCCCUACAUGUUCACAUGUGCCGCACUCCACAGUAAUCAAUCAAAUAAUCAGAGUUUUAUGCACAUAAAGCUCCAGGUGAACGACUCAUCAAACGAGCGUCCAGAUCCAAACGAAGCUCUGAGCUGGCGGAUAAACACCGUGAGGCAGCAAUCUGAUCCUGCAAACGUCUGAGACAUCUCAGUAAACCACAGUGAGACUCCACGCAGCAACACCCUCCUCUACCACACCAACCUUCUGCAUGUCCUCCUUCAUUACAUCGAUAAACCAUCUGUUUUGCUGUCUUUGUGUCAGUACCACAGUCUCCAAACCAUCCAUCACAGCAUCACCUCAAUCUUUAAACGUUCCCUUUCAUUAUUGCUGUUUACUUCUGUCACAAAUCACCCCUAACAUUCUCCUCCACCCACUCCACCCUGCUUGCACUCUAUUCUUCACCUCUUUAGAUGGUUGACCGCAGGUAUUUAAGCUCAUCCACCUUUGCUCCUUUCAUGUUCACCUUUCCACCUGCAUGCACAUCUGAUCACUCUGUCUGUACUCACAGGUGUCCUUGCACCACUCUCACACAACGCCACACUUCCUCUGUUACGACCCAUCAUCUGCUUUCUAUAGCCCAACAAAGACACAGUGAAGCUCCUUCUGACCUUCUCUACACUUGCGCAUCAUGGGGGGGAUGGAUGGGCACUAAAAAUAUUGAGGUAGCACAAAAAACAGAACACUGAAGUGGUGCAGUGGAGAGGAGGGGGUGAUGAUGGGAAAUCGUGAGGGAAAUACAAAGGGACACAAUACGAAUGGCAAGAACUGGAAAUGCAGGAAUAAAAAAAAAAAAAAACAAAAAAAACAAAAAAAAAAAAAACAAGUCGAUGUCCAGCUGUCAGCUCAUUUUAUGGUGUCUUCCUCUCUCUUUUGCUCAUGUUUAUUAAAAUUAUAACCGACACAGAACAGAAAUUGAUAAAUAAAGAAACUCUGCACUUGUAUCGGUGAGAUGAGGUUUAUGGCUGCAGAAAAAGCCCCUCACUGGAUCUUGAGUUUGGAUUAGUUUGUUUAACAGUCCUAAAGCAGGCUGCAUCCAGCUUCUUCUGAUCUGAAAGGAGUGAAGCCCACAUCUCGGUCCC
Long non-coding RNA from Astatotilapia calliptera (eastern happy), 1475 nucleotides. The record is from Ensembl. NCBI's taxonomy places the organism in Eukaryota, Metazoa, Chordata, Actinopteri, Cichliformes, Cichlidae.